CUCCAGUGCUGCUGUGCCAGCAUAAAUUUUAAUAAAAUACCAAUAUAAAUUUAGUCUUUUUACCCCUUGAAAUGUUACUCUAUAUAGAAUGAGACUCACGGGCCUUUAAAUAACAGUCUAUUCAAGCAUCACAAUGAGCUAUUUUGCCCACGUAAGUAGAUACUUUAUUCCAGCAACUUGAAAACGAUUCAGAGAGCUGCCUUGCCCUGCUCUGAGCCACAGAGCCACUCCACAUCUCCACAAACUGAUUUGUCAGGAACCUGUCUGACACAGCACAGAUUUCAACUGAGAUCAGCCUGAGAGAUGUGUAUAUUCCUUCAUAUUCAAUGUGUGCCCAGUGAAUUCAUCUCCAGAGCAGAGCCAAAGGCUCCACAAAAACCCUUCACUGUUUGCUGCAGCUGCAAGCAAGAAUGUCUCAGAGCAUCACAACUUCAUGAUGAGGCUCCUGCCUUCCCCUCUGGGGCCUCCAAGCUGUCCAGGUGAUAACUGUGGCAAUGACAGAGUAACUGAGGCUGGAGAGGACCUCCAUGUGCUUGUCCAACCUGCUCAGGCCAGGGUCCCAC
This 563-nucleotide long non-coding RNA is filed under the name Cyanistes caeruleus (blue tit). RNAcentral describes it as "lncRNA (ENSCCEG00000010969.1)". Lineage: Eukaryota; Metazoa; Chordata; Aves; Passeriformes; Paridae. The record is from RNAcentral.